GACGAAUCGUGCGAACGUUGUUCGGAAUCACUGGGCUUAAAGGGCGCGUAGGCGGGCGAGCGAGUCCGGGGUGAAAUCUUUCGGCUUAACCGGAAAAGGGCCUCGGAUACCGGUCGUCUGGAGGGAGGUAGGGGCAGUUGGAACUUCCGGUGGAGCGGUGAAAUGCGUUGAUAUCGGAAGGAACGCCGGUGGCGAAAGCGAGCUGCUGGACCUCAUCUGACGCUGAGGCGCGAAAGCCAGGGGAGCGAACGGG
This 253-nucleotide ribosomal RNA is filed under the name uncultured bacterium. RNAcentral describes it as "partial 16S ribosomal RNA". It matches the Rfam family "Bacterial small subunit ribosomal RNA", at positions 524 to 776 of the family's 1533-position model. The record is from RNAcentral.